This 574-nucleotide ribosomal RNA is filed under the name uncultured haloarchaeon. Its description in RNAcentral is "bacterial SSU rRNA". It matches the Rfam family "Archaeal small subunit ribosomal RNA", at positions 340 to 914 of the family's 1478-position model. Lineage: Archaea; Methanobacteriati; Methanobacteriota; Halobacteria; Halobacteriales; Halobacteriaceae. The record is from RNAcentral.
CGCGAAACCUUACACUGCACGAGAGUGCGAUAAGGGGACUCCCAGUGCGAGGGCAUACAGUCCUCGCUUUUCUGGACCGUAGGGAGGUCCAGGAACAAGUGCUGGGCAAGACCGGUGCCAGCCGCCGCGGUAAUACCGGCAGCACGAGUGAUGGCCGAUAUUAUUGGGCCUAAAGCGUCCGUAGCCGGCCAGACAAGUCCGUUGGGAAAUCCACGUGCUCAACACGUGGGCGUCCAGCGGAAACUGUCUGGCCUGGGGCCGGAAGACCCAAGGGGUACGUCCGGGGUAGGAGUGAAAUCCCGUAAUCCUGGACGGACCGCCGAUGGCGAAAGCACCUUGGGAGGACGGACCCGACGGUGAGGGACGAAAGCCAGGGUCUCGAACCGGAUUAGAUACCCGGGUAGUCCUGGCCGUAAACGAUGUCCGCUAGGUGUGGCGCAGGCUACGAGCCUGCGCUGUGCCGUAGGGAAGCCGUGAAGCGGACCGCCUGGGAAGUACGUCUGCAAAGAUGAAACUUAAAGGAAUUGGCGGGGGAGCACUACAACCGGAGGAGCCUGCGGUUUAAUUGGAAUCA